This 2941-nucleotide long non-coding RNA is filed under the name Callithrix jacchus (white-tufted-ear marmoset). RNAcentral's name for it is "lncRNA (ENSCJAG00000072420.1)". Lineage: Eukaryota; Metazoa; Chordata; Mammalia; Primates; Cebidae. The record is from RNAcentral.
GAUGGCUCUUAUCUAUGGCAAUUUCUAUGAAGUUUUUGGACAGAGAAGCAUUGGCAGAACACAGGGUUUUUCCGGUCUGGGCCCAUGCGUCACAUGUGCACUUGAGCACACAGUUCCCUCAGGCUUAUUGUUCAGUCUUGUGAAAUGUGGAUAACGGAUCUAUUCCCUUCUCAAUGAGACUAACGAGCCAAAGGUUUGCAAGACGUCUUGAGAAGUUUUCUGCAAGUUUUAAAACAAACUCUUCCAAAACCAUGUUUUCAAAAACCCGAUUUGUUUAAUUCCUUAGUUAUUUUUAGAACUAAAUACAUCUCUUAAGUGGCAUUUAAAAAGAGCAAGAUUACAAUUCCGUAAUCUGCUGUAAACAUUGCCAUGAACACUGCAAGCAACCUUGACUAGCUGAGCUCAUGGAAAUUGUGUCUUCAUCUGCCUGUGUCUUUCCUUUGCUCUAACUUCACAUUACCAGAAAUAUGCAGCUCACGUGGGAUGACAUUUAUUCAAGGUAAUGAUAACAAUCUAGCUGUCUCCCCCUGUGAUGCAUGUGUUCCGGCCCUUCCUGGCCCAAGGUCCAUUUGCUUGCUUUUCUCUCAGAGCUCAUUCCUUCUCAGUCAUUUUGGCCAGAAAGUUCCCGCUUCGGAGCUGAAGGUGAAAUUUGGAGCCAUUUCAGAGAGGAGAACAAAAAUGGGACCAUGCAAGGAAGAAUCUAGUACUCGUUUUUAAGGUGAACUACAAGGAUUUGAUGGAGUUUCUUUAUUUAAUAAAGAAAUACUUUUUUGAGAAUUGCCUGUCCUUUGCAUAUGAGCCAUUUUAACUGGGGUAAGUUUUGCUUUGCAUUACUCUGAUGGUCAAUAAUGUUGAGCACCUUUUCCUAUGCCUGUUUGCCAUUUGUAUGUCUUCCUUUGAGAAUAUCUAUUCAAAUCUUCUGCCCAGUUUUAAAAUCAGAUUAUUAGACUUUAUCCUAUAGAGUUAUUUGAGCUCCUCAUAUAUUCUAUUAUUAAUCCCUUGUCAGAUGGGUAGUUUGCAAAUAUUUUCUCUCACUCUGUGGGUUGUCUCUUUACCUCGUUAGUUGUUUCCUUUGCUAUGCAGAAGCUUUUUAACUUGAUGUGAUUUCAUUUGCCCAUUAUUGCUUUGGAUACCUGUGUUUAUGGGGUACUACUCUAGAAAUUUUUGCCCAGACCAAUGUCCUGGAGAUUUUUCCUAAUAGUUUAUGAUAUUAGCUUCAUAGUUUGAGGUAUUAGAUUUAAGUCUUUAAUCCAGUAUGUGUGUGUGUGUGUGUGUGUGUGUGUGUGUGUGUGUGUGUGUAGAGAUAGAGGUCUAGUUUCAUUCUUCUGCAUAUGAAUAUCGAGUUUUGUGAGCACCAUGUAUUGAAGAGAUUGUCUUUCCCCCACCAAUGUAUGUUCUUGACAUUUUUGUCAAAAAUGAAUUCACCCUAGUUGUCUGGAUUUAUUUUUGGAUUCUAGAGUCUGUUCCAUUGGUCUAUGUGUCUGUUUUUGUGCCAGUUCCAUGCUAUUUUGCUUAUUAUAGCUCACUAGUAUAAUGUGAAGUCAGGUAGUGUGACUCCUCCAGUUUUAUUAUUUUGCUUAGGAUAGCGUUGACUAUUCUGGGUCUUUUGAGGUUCCAUAUAAAUUUUAGGAUUUUCUUUUCUAUUUGUGUGAAGAUUGCCAUUAACAUUUUGGUAAGGAUUGCAUGGCUAUGGGUAUGUCGUGUAUAGCUUUUAUUAUAUUGAGCUAUGUUCCUUCUCAACCCAGUUUUUUAUCCUUUUAUUAUGAAGAGAUGUUGGAUUGUAUCACUAUUUCAGCACCAAUUGAAAUUAUCAUAUGGUUUUUAUCCUUCAUUUAUUGAUAUGAUGUAUCACAUUGAUUGGUUUGCAUAUGUUGAACUAUCCUUUCAUCCUAGGGAAAAAAUCCUACUUGGUCAUGAUGAAUGAUCUUUCUAAUAUAUUGUUGAAUUUGCUUUGCCAGUAUUUGGCAGUGUGGGAAAGGCAGAUUUCUCCAUCAACAUUCAUCAGAGAUAUUGACCUGUAGUUUUCUUUUUUUGAUGUGUCUUCAUCUGUUUUUGGUGUCAGGGUCAUACUGGCAUUGUAGAACAACUUUGGAAGUGUUCCUUCAUCCUCUAUUUUUCAAAAUAGUUUGAGUAGGAUUCUUGAAAUAUGCGGUAGAAUUCAGCAGUGAAGCCAUUGGGUCCCAGGCUUUUCUUUACAGGGAGACUUUUUAUUACAGCUUCAAUGUUGCUGCCGGUUAUUGGUCUGUUCAGGUUUUGGAUUUCUUCCUGGUUCAAUCUUGUUAGGUUGUAUGUGUCUAGGAAUUUGUCAAUUUCUUCUAUAUGUUCCAAUUUUUGGCAUAUAGUUGCUCACAGCAGCCACUAAUGAUUUUUUUGUGCAGUGUCAGUUGUAAUGUCUCCUUUCUCAUUUCUUAUUUAUUCAUAUCUUCUUUUUUUCUUAGUCUGACUAAAGAUGCAUUGAUUUAACUUUUCAAAAAAAUCAACUUUUUCUUAAUCUUUAGUAUUGUUUUAUUCAUUUCCAUUUCAUUUAUUUCUGCUCCAACCUUUAUUUUUUUCCCCCCCUUACUACUUUUUGGUUUGGAUUGCUCUUGCUUUUCUAGUUUUUUGAAAUGCAUCAUUAAAUUGCUUAUUUGGAACUUUCUCUCUUUUUUGAUGUAGGCACUUAUAGCUCUAACUUUCCCUCUUAGUACUGCUUUUGCUGUAUCCCAUAGGUUGGCAUAUGUUGUGUUUGCAUUAUUAUUUAUUUCAAUAAACUUUUCAAUUUUCUUCUUAAUUUCUACAUUCACUGGUCAUUCAGGAGCAUAUUGUUUAAUUUCCAUGUAUCUGUAUAGUUUCCACAAUUCCUCUUGUUCGUAAUUUCUAGUUUUAUUUCAUUGCAGUAAGAAAAGAUACUUGACAUUAUUUCAAUUUUUUUGAAUGUUUUAAGACUUGUUUUGUGACUUAA